RNAcentral lists this ribosomal RNA (253 nucleotides) under uncultured bacterium. Its description in RNAcentral is "partial 16S ribosomal RNA". It matches the Rfam family "Bacterial small subunit ribosomal RNA", at positions 524 to 776 of the family's 1533-position model. The record is from RNAcentral.
UACAGAGGUGCCAAGCGUUGUUCGGAUUUACUGGGCGUAAAGGGUGCGUAGGUGGUGUGGUAAGUCAAAUGUGAAAUCCUGCAGCUCAACUGCAGAACUGCAUUCGAAACUGCCACGCUGGAGUACUGGAGAGGAGAUCGGAAUUCUCGGUGUAGCAGUGAAAUGCGUAGAUAUCGAGAGGAACACCAGUGGCGAAGGCGGAUCUCUGGACAGUUACUGACACUGAGGCACGAAAGCCAGGGGAGCAAAUGGG